ACACGUAGGGGGCGAGCGUUGUUCGGAAUCAUUGGGCGUAAAGGGCGUGCAGGCGGUCCUGCAAGUCCGGCGUGAAAGACCCCGGCCCAACCGGGGGGACGCGCUGGAAACUGCCGGGCUUGAGGACAGGAGGGGAUGGCGGAAUUCCAGGGGUAGGGGUGAAAUCUGUAGAUAUCUGGAAGAACACCAAUGGCGAAGGCAGGCAUCUGGCCAUGUACUGACGCUGAGACGCGAAGGUGCGGGGAGCAAACAGGUUUAGAUACCCUGGUAGUCCGCACAGUAAACGAUGUGCACCAGGUGGCGGGGGGUCGACCCCCGGUACCGUAGCUAACGCAUUAAGUGCACCGCCCGGGGAGUAUGCUCGCAAGGGUGAAACUCAAAUGAAUUGACGGGG
This 394-nucleotide ribosomal RNA is filed under the name uncultured bacterium. RNAcentral's name for it is "partial 16S ribosomal RNA". It matches the Rfam family "Bacterial small subunit ribosomal RNA", at positions 523 to 918 of the family's 1533-position model. The record is from RNAcentral.